UUAAAGGGGAAGGGGGACAGCUCGGAGAGGACGAAGUUUGGCCAAGGUGAGGCCAAAUUUCUCCUGCAUGUCCAUGUCAUUUGGUGCAAUAUCACCCUCAAUUUUCCACUUAAAUGUAUUCAACAUUGUGCCUAGCAGUACUGGGACCAUCCUUAUUGCCAAUGGCAGACCAGGACAAAUUCUUCGACCAGCACCAAAUGGAAUUAACUCAAAAUCUUGACCUCGCACAUCCAAUUUUGAAUCCUUAAAUCUAUCAGGAUUAAACACCAAAGGGUCUUCCCAUAGAGUCGAGUCCCGGCCAAUUGCCCACACAUUAAUGAGCACUUUCGAACCUUUAGGGACAGUGUAGCCACACAGCUCAACAUCUUGCUCUACUUUUCGAGGUACCAAAAAAGGAGCUGGAGGGUGCAUCCUGUAAGUUUCUUUAAUAAUGCACUGCAAGUAAGGGAGUCGGGCAACGUCAGUUUCUUCCAUCAGGUUACCUUCUCCGAGGACUUGUACGAGCUCAGCUUGGACUUUCUUCAUAAUAUCUGGAGAUCUAAGAAGCUCAGUCAUAGCCCAUUCCACUACAUUCGAACUUGUGUCAGUUCCCGCAUUAAAUAGGUCCUGAGAUUAAG
RNAcentral lists this unclassified non-coding RNA (617 nucleotides) under Hevea brasiliensis (rubber tree). Lineage: Eukaryota; Viridiplantae; Streptophyta; Magnoliopsida; Malpighiales; Euphorbiaceae. The record is from RNAcentral.